RNAcentral lists this ribosomal RNA (442 nucleotides) under uncultured bacterium. RNAcentral describes it as "partial 16S ribosomal RNA". It matches the Rfam family "Bacterial small subunit ribosomal RNA", at positions 338 to 795 of the family's 1533-position model. The record is from RNAcentral.
CCUACGGGGUGCAGCAGUAGGGAAUCUUUCACAAUGGGCGAAAGCCUGAUGGAGCAACGCCGCGUGCAGGAUGAAGGCCUUCGGGUUGUAAACUGCUUUUAUAAGCGAGAAAUAUGAUGGUAACUUAUGAAUAAGGCUCGGCUAACUACGUGCCAGCAGCCGCGGUCAUACGUAGGAUCCGAGCAUUAUCCGGAGUGACUGGGUGUAAAGAGUUGCGUAGGUGGCAUAAUAAGUAGCUAGUGAAAUCUGGUGGCUCAACCAUUCAGACUAUUAGCUAAACUGUUAAGCUCGAGACCGUUAGGGGUAACUGGAAUUUCUAGUGUAGGAGUGAAAUCCGUAGAUAUUAGAAGGAACACCAAUAGCGUAGGCAGGUUGCUGGGACGGGUCUGACACUAAGGCACGAAAGCGUAGGGAGCAAACGGGAUUAGAUACCCCAGUAGUC